Molecule: long non-coding RNA, 3513 nt
Organism: Phyllostomus hastatus (greater spear-nosed bat)
Lineage: Eukaryota; Metazoa; Chordata; Mammalia; Chiroptera; Phyllostomidae
Exons: 2
Source: RefSeq, a predicted model, not a curated record
UCUCUAAAAAUAAAUAAAAUCUUUUAAAAAAUUUAAAAAAAGGAUGAAACAGUAAAAUCUCAAAACUUACUUCCCUUUUUGUAUUGUUGCACUAAGUGUUAUAUUCUUUCCCAGAAUCAACACCUUAAGAGUUGGCUGGGCCUAAUUACAAGGGAGGCAUGGCUUGCCCCUUCAGAUGAGGAAUGAGCAGAGUACAAUUAAAAUGAAAAAUCUUGUGAUUCCGGAAGACUCAUGAAAUGUAGUUUCUAGAGUCCCUCAGAGAUGCAGAGAAUGAACCAGACUCUACCCAUUUGGGAUCAGUUUGACUUCAGGGCAUAAGUACUAUAUAAUGGCUGUUAGAAUUGCUUGUGAACAAUGCAGAUGCUAAGUUGCAAAAUGACUUCAAGCCUCCUGGAGGCCUGUAGUAACAGAUAUGAAAAUAUCUACAAUGGAGUUUAAAACACUUCCCUUCAAAACCACCUUUUAUCUCCCUUAAGUGACCAAUGUUAAACAGGGGCCCACUCUUUUGUAUGCCCAAGGUUUCAGGUCAGUUAAGUGGAACCAGAUUCAAACUCAAUUAGUUGUAUUUAAUCGCUAUAUUACACUGCAACAUUUUUAUAUAGAAGGUAAUCCUUUAAAUUGAAUGCACUUGCUUUGAUGUAUAAUUCACUCUGAAGUUCUCACUUUUUCCCCAUUUCAGUAAAAACUGGCAAAAACCAUCUUGGAGUGGCAUCUGCUACAGGGACUUGCUUUCAGUAGGCCAAACCAAGUAUCCUGUUAACACACCUUGGCACAAGGUGCAAAUAUUCUUUCAGGAAAGAUCACAGGAUACAGAUGUAUUAAUGAAUUCCUAAGUAGAAGGUAGACAAUGAAGAUUACAAUUGAAGAUGGUUAAGUUGCAGCUUGUUCUGCAAACUUUUGGGUUCUCAAGAACUAAUGAUGUACAAGCAGUUGUGAUAAAUACAUGGAAUUUGCUUUUUGGAGAUAAUAUAGGCACAAAAUAAAAUGGGUUCAGAAUUAAGUUUGUAUAAGACUGACCCACAUGUACUUUGGACACCACUCUAGCAAGUCAAAAAGGUCCAUCCCGUAAGUAACCAUAUGUGGCAUUGUGUUUGUAAGGGUGGGGAGGUCCAGGGAGACAUUUCCUUAAAGAAGGGUGGUGAGGGAUUUGCACCAGAGGCUGUUAACAACAUGUAUGUCUCUUCCCUCCCAUGGGCUUGGCUCUUUAGCAUCUGGACCAACACUGCAAUUCAGAUCCCUGGCUGUUAAGAUGACAAACAGCUGGAAAAUGAACUUAAGUUGGAUAGGUGAUAGGAUGCAUGAAAAAAUUAUCAACUCUCCCAUUCCUAAAACAUCCCAAAAUAAAGCUCCACUCCUAAUCAUGUUUUCCCAUGGCACUGCUGGCCAAAAGUGAGCAGGAACCACGAACUAUAACUGGCCUGUUAUAUUCAGUGUAGAAAAAGGUUUGAGGACAAGGUUAAUCCACUUCCAAAAACUAAUUGAGCUCAGGUUGAAAACACAUGCAGACCCUUCUCCUUGCUCAAAUUUCAAGGGUGUGCAGGGUGAAUUUGCCAAGAUUGAGAAAUACCUUUGGGGAUCCCUAUGGAAGAGAUCUUGAGAAGACUCAAACAGCUGAAACCUCUUUCCAAAAGCUUCCAGACCAGACCAACCUGUUAAGGAAGCACGGUAAAGAUGUGGUAGAAAUAACAUAAUUUGCCCAAACCACCCACUCUUCAGUCAAAUGCAUUUAUUCUUCAGGUUUAUUAACCAAGGCAUUUAUUGAAUGUAAUGAAAAAUGUGGGGAAAAAAGUGACUCUUUAAAACCCAGCAUUACUAUCAAAAGAACUAUUUUAAAAUUAUCCUAUUGUAUACUCAGCUAAAGACCUGCUUAAUAAGAGCACUAGUUUGAGAACAUCCUAAAGGGCAAGGAAACUAAUAUAACUUAAUAGAUUUUAUGAUCUAAGCUCUAUGUUGAUAGGACAUUUGGAUCCCAGUCCUUGAUUUGCCCCCAACAAGCCUUGACCAAAUCAACUUGAAAUGGUGGGAUUGGAGAUGCCACCUUCCAAUUCAACAAUGAAACGUGUUCCCUUCAAGGAACUUUUUAAAUUUUUAAAGUUUACCACCUUCAAGGAGUUGAAGCAUAGUUCACUGUAUGAAUCUAAAGUGUUAUCUCCAACAUUCAACUUAAGAAACCCAGUUAAGUACUUCAAUUUAUGCUUAAAUUUAAGAGGAUUUCUAAAAUAGAUGUUUGAGGGACUAUUAAGGCAGAAUUCCUAAAAUUAUGCACCAAGCCAUCCUGAAAUAUACCUGGAAUAUCAAUGGCAUAUUUCUAGAUGCCUGGUACUUUGUUUUCAUUUUAAUAAUGUACACCUGGAGAUACACUUGUGAUUAUACCACUGUUAAUACCAAAAAUUUACCUACAGUAUAAACUGAGAAAACCAGAGCUUCCAAUUUCUCCCUUAUACACUCCCCACUCCUUUCACUUUUGCCCCAAGUUGAAAAAUCACUGUAUUACUGGUCACACCAAACUUGUUUGCAAUGGGGAAAGAGACUGAGAACUUAAAACUGCACUGUAAUGGUAACUCAAAUCCAAAUAGAUUCUUAGUCCCUCAAAAUUCUUCUGAUAUUGAAUACUGCCUAGUUUUAAUAACGUGACAGUGUAAGAACUCCUUGUGUUAGGUUUAAACAAUGAAGAAUUUCAUUCCUUGUUGCAAUCUUAUCUUUCUCCUUAAAAUAAUGUAAACCUGUUAAGUCAUUAAGAUCCGACUGCUGUUAGAAACCACCUUCAUUUGCUGCCCAAUAUACCAGUGUCCGCAACUUACUUAAAAUCAGAAUGCCCUUUUAACUGAGUUCUUUCACAAUCUCUCACCAGCCAGUCUUCUUUCAAAUUUGACAAGGACUCCACAAUUAAAUGGAGUUCACAUACAGACACGAUUAGGGUCCCACUUCACUACUUCAGGUUAAACACUUGCACUAGCAAGAAAAGCACAACACUAAACUGGUGAUUACAAGACUUAGACAAAAUUCCCAUAUCUUGGCAUGCUCGAUAUUUACCAAAGUCAAAAGACUUAAUGUCGGUCACCUUAACAAUCUCAAAAUUAAAGCCCUUCCUUGAACAUCUUUCACCAGUUAGGAGUUCCCACAUCAGGUAAUUUCAUAACAGACACCAAGUUGCUACCAUGCAAUGAAACCUUUAUUAACACUUUGAACAGGUUCAGUUAUUAUUGAAACUGGUAAUUCUAAACUUAAACUGGGAAAAAUGGCUAGAAUGCAGAGUAGUGGCCAUCACUGGGCACUAUGAAUGCCAAAACUGAAGAAUUAACAGCCACCCCUUAGACGAAGGACCAGGUGCAGGGUGGACUCUUUCUGGAUGUUGUAGUCAGAAAGAGUGCGGCCAUCUUCCAGCUGCUUGCCUGCAAAGAUGAGCCUCUGCUGGUCAGGAGGGAUGCCUUCUUUAUCCUGGAUCUUGGCCUUCACAUUCUCAAUGGUGUCACUGGGCUCCACCUCCAGGGUGAUGGUCUUGCCAGUCAGGGU